Molecule: ribosomal RNA, 250 nt
Filed under: uncultured bacterium
Lineage: Bacteria
Description: partial 16S ribosomal RNA
Rfam family: Bacterial small subunit ribosomal RNA
Source: RNAcentral
AUUGAACGCUGGCGGCAUGCCGUACACAUGCAAGUCGAACGAUGAAGCUGGAGCUUGCUCCGGUGGAUUAGUGGCGAACGGGUGAGUAACACGUGAGCAAUCUGCCCUUCACUCUGGGAUAACUGCGGGAAACUGUAGCUAAUACCGGAUACGAGGCUUGGAGGCAUCUCCAGGUCUGGAAAGAAUUUCGGUGAAGGAUGAGCUCGCGGCCUAUCAGCUUGUUGGUGAGGUAAUGGCUCACCAAGGCGAC